GACGAACGCUGGCGGCGUGCUUAACACGUGCAAGUCGAACGGAAAGGCCCUGCUUUUGUGGGGUGCUCGAGUGGCGAACGGGUGAGUAACACGUGAGUAACCUGCCCUUGACUUUGGGAUAACUUCAGGAAACUGGGGCUAAUACCGGAUAGGAGCUCCUGCUGCAUGGUGGGGGUUGGAAAGUUUCGGCGGUUGGGGAUGGACUCGCGGCUUAUCAGCUUGUUGGUGGGGUAGUGGCUUACCAAGGCUUUGACGGGUAGCCGGCCUGAGAGGGUGACCGGCCACAUUGGGACUGAGAUACGGCCCAGACUCCUACGGGAGGCAGCAGUGGGGAAUAUUGCACAAUGGGCGGAAGCCUGAUGCAGCAACGCCGCGUGCGGGAUGACGGCCUUCGGGUUGUAACCCGCUUUCGCCUGUGACGAAGCGUGAGUGACGGUAAUGGGUAAAGAAGCACCGGCUAACUACGUG
This 468-nucleotide ribosomal RNA is filed under the name uncultured bacterium. RNAcentral describes it as "partial 16S ribosomal RNA". It matches the Rfam family "Bacterial small subunit ribosomal RNA", at positions 28 to 507 of the family's 1533-position model. The record is from RNAcentral.